GUGGGGAAUCUUCCGCAAUGGACGAAAGUCUGACGGAGCGACGCCGCGUGAGUGAAGAAGGCCUUCGGGUCGUAAAGCUCUGUCAUCAGGGACGAACGGCCGGUGGAGUGGAAAGCCACCGGAUUGACGGUACCUGAGAAGGAAGCCACGGCUAACUACGUGCCAGCAGCCGCGGUAAUACGUAGGUGGCAAGCGUUGUCCGGAAUUAUUGGGCGUAAAGUGCGCGCAGGUGGGAUCUUAAGUCCAUUUUGAAAGUUCGGAGCUCAACUCCGUGAUGGGAUGGAAACUGGGAUUCUUGAGUACCGGAGAGGAAAGCGGAAUUCCCCGUGUAGCGGUGAAAUGCGUAGAUAUGGGGAGGAACACCAGUGGCGAAGGCGGCUUUCUGGACGGUGUCUGACACUGAGGCGCGAAAGCUAGGGGAGCGAACGGGAUUAGAUACCCGUGUAGUCC
This 450-nucleotide ribosomal RNA is filed under the name uncultured bacterium. Its description in RNAcentral is "partial 16S ribosomal RNA". It matches the Rfam family "Bacterial small subunit ribosomal RNA", at positions 354 to 796 of the family's 1533-position model. The record is from RNAcentral.